Molecule: ribosomal RNA, 253 nt
Filed under: uncultured bacterium
Lineage: Bacteria
Description: partial 16S ribosomal RNA
Rfam family: Bacterial small subunit ribosomal RNA
Source: RNAcentral
GACAGAGGGUGCAAACGUUGUUCGGAAUUACUGGGCGUAAAGCGUGUGUAGGCGGUCACGUAAGUCGGAUGUGAAAGCCCUGGGCUCAACCCAGGAAGUGCACUCGAUACUGGGAGGCUCGAGUCCGGAAGAGGUGAGUGGAACUGCGAGUGUAGAGGUGAAAUUCGUAGAUAUUAGGAAGAACACCAGUGGCGAAGGCGGCUCACUGGUCCGGUACUGACGCUGAGGUGCGAAAGCGUGGGGAGCAAACAGG